This 484-nucleotide ribosomal RNA is filed under the name uncultured bacterium. Its description in RNAcentral is "partial 16S ribosomal RNA". It matches the Rfam family "Bacterial small subunit ribosomal RNA", at positions 29 to 507 of the family's 1533-position model. The record is from RNAcentral.
AUUGAACGCUGGCGGCAUGCUUUACACAUGCAAGUCGAACGGCAGCGCGGGCUUCGGCCUGGCGGCGAGUGGCGAACGGGUGAGUAAUACAUCGGAACGUGCCCAGUAGUGGGGGAUAGCUCGGCGAAAGCCGGAUUAAUACCGCAUACGAUCUGAGGGUGAAAGCGGGGGAUCUUCGGACCUCGCGCUAUUGGAGCGGCCGAUGGCAGAUUAGCUAGUUGGUGGGGUAAAGGCCUACCAAGGCGACGAUCUGUAGCUGGUCUGAGAGGACGACCAGCCACACUGGGACUGAGACACGGCCCAGACUCCUACGGGAGGCAGCAGUGGGGAAUUUUGGACAAUGGGCGAAAGCCUGAUCCAGCAAUGCCGCGUGUGUGAUGAGGGCCUUCGGGUUGUAAAGCACUUUUGGCGGGAACGAAAAGGACUGUGCCAAUACCACGGUUCGAUGACGGUACCCGCAGAAUAAGCACCGGCUAACUACGUG